UUCAAGCACGUCUAACAAUGAGCUAUAAGGAUUCGCAUCUUCUCAUCUGCCGAACAGGUGGACGGUGUCCAGCUAGGUAUGGAACGCAUUACAAAAUUUUCACUAUAUAUACGAUAUCUCCUUGGGGGGAAAUUAUAGCUAGCGCAUUGCUUAUAUCAUAUUUUGUUUGAGUGCAGUGCAGUCUCACUGUGCUACUUGUGCAGUAUGCAUCCAAAGCCUAUAAUGAGUGGUAACGCUUCAAAGCUGCGAAAGGGUGCAUGGGGUUCAGAUGAAGAUACUCUUCUCCGAAGAUGUAUUGAGGAGUAUGGCGAAGAAAAGUGGCACCUUGUUCCUCAGAGAGCAGGGCUGAAUAGGUGCCGAAAGAGUUGUCGAUUGAGGUGGCUCAACUAUAUAUCUUAGGCCAACCAUAAGGCGAGGUGAGUUUGGUGAAGAUGAAGUGGAUCUUAUGAUAAGGCUUCACAGGCUACUGGGAAACAGGCAAGCUCAUGAAUGAAUUGAUUAAUACUAUCAUGUCAUGGACCAUAAGUCCAUCUAGAGAUUGGUUUGGUCAUGUUAUGGAUGAGACCAAAAUGUUUAAAAUUGUAACUCCAUAUGGCCGCGUUGAUGAGAAUAAAAUUUGAGCUAAUUUGUUUUCCA
Long non-coding RNA from Daucus carota subsp. sativus, 636 nucleotides. RefSeq lists it as uncharacterized. NCBI's taxonomy places the organism in Eukaryota, Viridiplantae, Streptophyta, Magnoliopsida, Apiales, Apiaceae. The record is from RefSeq and is a predicted model, not a curated record. The transcript is spliced from 2 exons.